This 464-nucleotide ribosomal RNA is filed under the name uncultured bacterium. RNAcentral's name for it is "partial 16S ribosomal RNA". It matches the Rfam family "Bacterial small subunit ribosomal RNA", at positions 28 to 506 of the family's 1533-position model. The record is from RNAcentral.
GAUGAACGCUGGCGGCGUGCUUAACACAUGCAAGUCGAACGGAAAGGCCCUUGCUUGCAGGGGUACUCGAGUGGCGAACGGGUGAGUAACACGUGGGUGAUCUGCCCUGCACUUCGGGAUAAGCCUGGGAGACUGGGUCUAAUACCGGAUAGGACCACAUUCUGGAUGGUGUGGUGGAGAGUUUUUCGGUGUGGGUUGAGCUCGUGGCCUAUCAGCUUGUUGGUGGGGUAAUGGCGUACCAAGGCGUCGAGGGGUAGCCGGCCUGGGGGGGGGUACGGCAACAUUGGGACUGGGUGACGGCCCAGACUCCUACGGAGGGAAGAGGUGGGGAAUAUUGAACAAGGGGCGAAGGCCGGAGGAGGCAACGCGGGGUGGGGGAGGACGGCCUUCGGGUGGUAAACUCCUUUCGCUAGGGACGAGGCGGAGGUAACGGAACCGGUAGAAGAAGCACGGGCUAACUACGU